Selaginella moellendorffii is the source of this 1785-nucleotide RNA transcript. RefSeq lists it as uncharacterized. The record is from RefSeq and is a predicted model, not a curated record. NCBI's taxonomy places the organism in Eukaryota, Viridiplantae, Streptophyta, Lycopodiopsida, Selaginellales, Selaginellaceae. The transcript has 6 exons.
UGGACUCAGGCAGAGGAAAUGACUCCAGCGGUGGGAUGGGAUCCGCGCGUGGGUCUGAUCGUGGCCGAUUGGUUCCAAAGCAGCAUAGGUACCAGAUUGCUGGGAGUGGUGGCAGGGGCAUUCCAGCGCUUUGGGCUGGAGCUGGAUUAUUCACCAGGGGCGUCGUGGUUCUACUCUAUGGAUGAGUCGACUGUGUCGGAGCUCAAGUGGAAGAUCUGGACUGUGGCAGUCGCCCACGUCCUCCGGGUUCCCGUCCCGGAGGUUUUCUUGCAUCUCUUCAUCGCUGCCGACUAUUUCACGCGCCAGCGAGGUUGCUCCAACCGGCAACGUUACGGUGGCCGGAAGCUACUGUCCUUCGUACUCCCUUGCCACUACGCUGUACAGAAGCUUGAACAGCUCAAGGCGAGAGACAUUCAGACGCCAGCCACUGAAGCGAUGUCUUCGGCGGAAGGAAUUACAUAUCUUGUGUCGCUCAUGUCUAGAGUUCCCUCUACUUUCUCGACGCGAACAUGUCUUCUGGAUGCCAUGCGCCUGUUUGAAGUGAGCCAGGAACUUUGCGUGCUCUUCUUGGCGUGGCUGCAGCUCCAGAUCCAAGCAAACAAGCAGCCGUUCGAAUGGCUCGACGCUUUCGAAGCUCAAGCCAAAGCCGGCGGCGGGGGGCACCUGGGCAACCUCUUGCUCUUCUUCCUAGACACAGUGCACGCAUACAGGUUUAAGGAUUUCUAUCUGCCACCCAAGGAGAUCAUCGACAGGGUCUAUAACGUUUGCUUCAAGGAACUCCCGAUGGUAGAGUGGCAGUCGAUCGACCUCACCGCCGGCGUCCGUCAGGUGUUGGAGGAGGUGGUGGCAGGAGUGACUCCCACAUUCGAGUGGGACAAAAGCCUUCUUGUAACUCUGGAGCGCUGGGUUCAAAGGAGGUCGCUCGUUUACCAGCACAGGCCUCGCGAGGUUCCAUACGUUAUGGACUUUACGGAUGCAACCUUGCAAAUUGGCCGUCUGAUCUACACUUGGACACUGACGAAGAAGGGGCAGCGCGACCAUGCCGAGCUCCAGACGCUGUGCUCGACGGGCAAGUCGAUCGUGGAGCACGCACAGUCGGUGGCAGUGGGAAGCAGCGACGAGCGCCAGCUCUACCGUGCCGCCGCUGCCGUUUUCGGCAAGGAUUUUAGCGGCCAUUUCGUGUAGCUGUGCAGGAACGCGCAGUGGGAGCCGGAUGGGGUCCCUUGCUCGCAGUCCGAGCUGGGAGAAAUAAGGGAGCUGGCAUGGAGAGGGCUGAUUUUAGUCUUCAACUUCGAGUACAGAGUUCCGGAGCAUUACUUUGACGGCAGCCCUAAGCAACUGAGAGACGAGGUGCCGUUCGGUGCCAUGAUAGUCUACAUUGUUCACCUGAUAUUUGAGGAUCGCUUGACUCUAGACAUUGAUCGCAAAACGUGGACAGAAGAGUGCACCUUAGCUCUAAAUAGUCACGGAAAUCGUGAUACAUAUCGGAACAAGAGGGGCAUUUUUAUUGCAUCAGAUGGGACGAGGAAGAGAUGUCUAGCUCUUGAGAAGCUGAUAAACUCUCCCAACGUACAGAGGGCCUUGGGAGCAAGCGCGGAUGAAAUAGGCGAUGCCAUGGUCAAGGCGAUUGCAGCAGGUGGUAUAUAUUAUGACCAGGAACACAGAGAUUUAUGGUUUAAAAUGGGCAAAAUAUUCAGAGGGGAUUAUGAGAGGCUCUCAGCAUAUAUUAUAGCAUAUGCAAUUUUCAGAGGAUUAAUUUAAACAAUAUGGAUAUCUCAUCUCAAA